CGGGAAACCGUGGCUAAUACCGGAUACUCCGGCGGGAUCGCAUGGUCCUGCCGGGAAAGCUCCGGCGGUGAGGGAUGGGCCCGCGGCCCAUUAGCUUGUUGGUGAGGUAACGGCUCACCAAGGCCGCGAUGGGUAGCCGAGCUGAGAGGCUGAUCGGCCAUACUGGGACUGAGACACGGCCCAGACUCCUACGGGAGGCAGCAGUGGGGAAUCUUGCGCAAUGGGCGAAAGCCUGACGCAGCGACGCCGCGUGCGGGAUGAAGGCCUUCGGGUCGUAAACCGCUUUCAGCAGGGAUGAAACUGACAGUACCUGCAGAAGAAGCCCCGGCUAACUACGUGCCAGCAGCCGCGGUAAUACGUAGGGGGCGAGCGUUAUCCGGAUUCAUUGGGCGUAAAGCGCGCGUAGGCGGCUUGUUAAGCGAGAUGUGAAAUCCGUGGGCUCAACCCGCGGCCUGCAUCUCGAACUGGCAGGCUUGAGUCUGGUAGAGGAAAGUGGAAUUCCGAGUGUAGCGGUGAAAUGCGCAGAUAUUCGGAGGAACACCAGUGGCGAAGGCGGCUUUCUGGGCCACGACUGACGCUGAGGCGCGAAAGCUAGGGGAGCAAACAGGAUUAGGUACCCUGGUAGUCCUAGCCGUAAACGAUGGGCACUAGGUGUGGGGGAUCAUAGACGUCUUCCGUGCCGAAGCUAACGCAUUAAGUGCCCCGCCUGGGGAGUACGGCCGCAAGGCUAAAACUCAAAGGAAUUGACGGGGGCCCGCACAAGCAGCGGAGCAUGUGGCUUAAUUCGACGCAACGCGAAG
Molecule: ribosomal RNA, 800 nt
Filed under: uncultured bacterium
Lineage: Bacteria
Description: bacterial SSU rRNA
Rfam family: Bacterial small subunit ribosomal RNA
Source: RNAcentral